UGGAUUGGCUUCUGAGGGUUGGGUGCACGGAUCCUUGCUUAAAUGUCAGCGCUGAGCAUCAGCUGCUCACCAUUCAUAUGAACAGUGGCUGUGUUGCAUAGCAAAGACUGCUAAGUUUGGAAUGCUUGAUAUGAGCUUCUUUUCACAUUGAACAACUGAUUCAGAACUGAAGCGCAAAAGGGGAAUCCGACUGUUUAAUUAAAACAAAGCAUUGUGAUGGCAUUUUGAAUGUGUUGAUGCAAUGUGAUUUCUGCCCAGUGCUCUGAAUGUCAAGGUGAUGAAAUUCAAACAAGCGCGGGUAAACGGCGGGAGUAACUAUGACUCUCUUAAGGUAGCCAAAUGCCUCGUCAUCUAAUUAGUGACGCGCAUGAAUGGAUUAACGAGAUUCCUACUGUCCUUACUUUCAAUUUAGCGAAACCACAGCCAAGGGAACGGGCUUGGGUUAGUCAGCGGGGAAAGAAGACCCUGUUGAGCUUGACUCUAGUCUGACAUUGUGAAAUGACUCAGGAGGUGUAGAAUAAGUGGGAGUAUUCUUGCAAUCAUGAAAUACCACUACUCUUGAUGUUAUUUUACUUAUUCUGUGAAACUCGUUCUUGCAUUUGCAUGUUGUUGCUCUCCAGCCAUUAUGCGUUGGUGUAUUUGUGUGGAAUAAUGUGUCAGGUAGGGAGUUUGGCUGGGGCGGCACAUCUGUCAAAUGAUAACGCAGGUGUCCUAAGGUGAGCUCAAUAAGAACAGAAAUCUUAU
This 744-nucleotide ribosomal RNA is filed under the name Ostreopsis siamensis. RNAcentral describes it as "partial large subunit ribosomal RNA". It matches the Rfam family "Eukaryotic large subunit ribosomal RNA", at positions 1944 to 2695 of the family's 3401-position model. The record is from RNAcentral. Lineage: Eukaryota; Dinophyceae; Peridiniales; Ostreopsidaceae.